UCAAGCAAUAAGGGCACAGGGCGGAUGCCUUGGCACUAAGAGCCGAUGAAAGACGUGAUAAGCUGCGAUAAGCUUCGGGGAGGAGCAAAUAUCCAUUGAUCCGGAGAUGUCUGAAUGGGGAAACCCACAUGAGCAAACCUCAUGUAUCCUACAGCCAAUACAUAACUGUAGGAAGGGAACCCGGGGAACUGAAACAUCUAAGUACCCGGAGGAAAAGAAAGAAAACUCGAUUCCGUAAGUAGCGGCGAGCGAACGCGGAGGAGCCUAAACCGGAAUGCGUGCAUUCCGGGGUUACGGACUGCAUUUAAGAUUCUUUGAAGCUAACAGAACGGUUUUGGGAAAGCCGGCCGGAGAGGGUGAAAGCCCCGUACGUGAAAGCUGAUGAGACUGAGCAGGAUCCAGAGUACCACGAGACACGUGGAACCUUGUGGGAAAUCAGGGGGACCACCCCCUAAGGCUAAAUACUACUUAGUGACCGAUAGCGCAUAGUACUGUGAAGGAAAGGUGAAAAGGACCCCGGGAGGGGAGUGAAAGAGAACCUGAAACCCUGUGUUUACAAGCUGUGGAACAUCAUUAUUCGAUGAACCGCGUACUUUUUGUAGAACGGUCCGGCGAGUUACGCUUACUGGCAAGGUUAAGCACUGAAGGUGCGGAGCCGGAGGGAAACCAAGUCUGAAUAGGGCGAUGAGUCAGUAGGAGUAGACCCGAAACCGGGUGAUCUAUCCAUGUCCAGGUUGAAGCUGCCGUAAGAGGUAGUGGAGGACCGAACCCACAUCCGUUGAAAAGGGUGGGGAUGAGGUGUGGAUAGGGGAGAAAUUCCAAUCGAACCCGGAGAUAGCUGGUUCUCCUCGAAAUAGCUUUAGGGCUAGCCUCGAUACAGAUUUGCGGAGGUAGAGCACUGAAUUUCCUAGGGGGCGUCAAAGCCUACCGAAGAAUAUCAAACUCCGAAUGCCGCGUAAUCGAUUAUCGGGAGUCAGACUGCACGAGAUAAGUUGGGCGGUCAAAAGGGAAAGAGCCCAGACCUUCAGUUAAGGUCCCCAAGUGCGCGUUAAGUGGAAAAGGAUGUGGGAUUUCGAAGACAACCAGGAUGUUGGCUCAGAAGCAGCCAUCCAUUCAAAGAGUGCGUAAUAGCUCACUGGUCGAGAGGUCCUGCGCCGAAAAUGUCCGGGGCUGAAACGCGCCACCGAAACUAAGGAACCGAAAGGUUGGUAGAGGAGCAUUGCAUGCGGGAAGAAGCAGUACCGAAAGGAGCUGUGGACUGCAUGGAAGAGAGAAUGCCGGAAUGAGUAGCGAGAUAGAGGUGGGAAUCCUCUAGGCCGAAUAUCCAAGGUUUCCAGAGUAAAGCUGAUCUGCUCUGGGUAAGUCGGGGCCUAAGGCGAGGACGAGAGUCGUAGCCGAUGGACAACAGGUGGAGAUUCCUGUACUGCGGUAUGACAGAACUGUGGGGACACGUAAGGAAAGCGGAAGCCGGGAAUGGAAAGCCCGGUGCAAGCGGGGUACCAGUCACUUUGGCAAAUCCGGGUGGCAAUGGGAAGCCGUGAUGCGGAGCGAAAUAAAGUAGCGAAGUCCGUGAGCCAUGCGUCAAGAAAAGCCGCUAUUGUUUAUACCGUACCCGUACCGUAAACCGACACAGGUGGAUGAGGAGAGAAUCCUAAGGCCGGCGGAAGAAGCAUUGUCAAGGAACUCGGCAAAAUGGCCCCGUAACUUAGGGAUAAGGGGUGCCUGGGAAACCAGGCCGCAGAGAAUAGGCUCAAGCAACUGUUUAGCAAAAACACAGGUCUAUGCGAAACCGAAAGGUGAGGUAUAUGGGCUGACGCCUGCCCGGUGCUGGAAGGUUAAGAGGAGAGGUUAGCGCAAGCGAAGCUUUGAAUUUAAGCCCCAGUAAACGGCGGCCGUAACUAUAACGGUCCUAAGGUAGCGAAAUUCCUUGUCGGGUAAGUUCCGACCC
This 1948-nucleotide ribosomal RNA is filed under the name human gut metagenome. Its description in RNAcentral is "bacterial LSU rRNA". It matches the Rfam family "Bacterial large subunit ribosomal RNA", at positions 1 to 1989 of the family's 2925-position model. The record is from RNAcentral.